CCUACGGGUGGCAGCAGUGAGGAAUAUUGGUCAAUGGACGCAAGCCUGAACCAGCCAUGCCGCGUGCAGGAAGACGGCCCUAUGAGUUGUAAACUGCUUUUGUACAAGGGUAAACGCAGAUACGCGUAUCUGUCUGAAAGUAUCGUACGAAUAAGGAUCGGCUAACUCCGUGCCAGCAGCCGCGGUAAUACGGAGGAUUCGAGCGUUAUCCGGAUUUAUUGGGUUUAAAGGGUGCGUAGGCGGUCGGAUAAGUUAGAGGUGAAAUCCCGAGGCUCAACUUCGGAAUUGCCUCUGAUACUGUCCGGCUAGAGAGUAGUUGAGGUAGGCGGAAUGUAUGGUGUAGCGGUGAAAUGCUUAGAUAUCAUACAGAACACCGAUUGCGAAGGCAGCUUACCAAGCUACUUCUGACGUUGAGGCACGAAAGCGUGGGGAGCAAACAGGAUUAGAUACCCUAGUAGUC
RNAcentral lists this ribosomal RNA (460 nucleotides) under uncultured bacterium. Its description in RNAcentral is "partial 16S ribosomal RNA". It matches the Rfam family "Bacterial small subunit ribosomal RNA", at positions 338 to 795 of the family's 1533-position model. The record is from RNAcentral.